RNAcentral lists this long non-coding RNA (794 nucleotides) under Canis lupus familiaris (dog). RNAcentral describes it as "lncRNA (ENSCAFG00000049880.2, ENSCAFG00845011390.1)". The record is from RNAcentral. Lineage: Eukaryota; Metazoa; Chordata; Mammalia; Carnivora; Canidae.
GCCUCCCAUGUGGAAAAUAUUUUAAUGUUUAUGAGCCACCAGCUCACAUCCUAUUCUUGCACAACACUUUCUACUUUUCAAAAUGCUUUUAUAGGUUAUCUUUUUGGAUCCGACUCCCGGUACUGCAGCCAUCUGUCACUGCCUCUGUUUUUACUACUGAAGCAACAAACACACGGAAGGGGAAUUGUUAAACCUGUGGGAUCCCACGGAGCUCGACGGGGGAAGUGGACACAUCACAUGCUCCCCAGUCCCCAGGGAGUGGGGACCCAGGAAGGUGGCCCACACGGUCACGUUCAAAACCAGCAUGCCGGAGGUGUUAGGACUGCAGCCGGCUGGAAGGGAAGCCGGCGUGGGAUGCGAAAAGGGAUGGCAAUCCAGUCAGAAGCAUAGAAAAUGCUGAUGUGUCUCCUUCCCAUACCCAACGUGACUUAAAGAGGAAAAUACUGGAGUACAUAGUUACAGCCCUAUUACAACUUUUACUUUGUAUGUCAAUUAGCAUGAAAUGGAACUCACUAAAAAAAUGUAUUGUCUUCAUAUUUCAGUGUAUUCUCCUUCCUGGUGUUCUAUUUCAGAAAAGUGAUAAACUCUGGUUCCCAUCUCCUAGUCAAACAUAAGCAAUGCAAAAGCAGUCACUUUCUUCUAAAGCAUCCACACUAAUGAUCAAGCCAUUUUUCAGUCUUGACUUUUAGUCACAUUUUCUUCAUUAUGAUAAUUUAUCAAGUAAUCUGUGAAAACUAGUAUCAUAGCUCUUGCAUUCUGCUAACUAGAUGUGUGAGCUGUAUGUACACUUUCCC